UGUUUGCUUCCCAGCCUGGGAAAGGAACGAGCCAGAUGGAGAAAACUAAAGUGGUGACUCCCGCUCUGAACCCAGCCUGGACAGCUAGAACAAAGCCUUGUUUGGGCUACUGUGCAAGCGAGGCCAUCUUGAUCCAUAUCUUUAUGGUGAGGCACCCCUUCUUCAUGUGCCCCCACUCACACCGCCUCCCAGCACAGGAAAACAUGGUAUUAUACAGAGCAGGGUCUGAUGUCUUAUCUCUCGUCCAUGAGGCAAGGGCUGGAUCACUCAUGUUACAUGGAAAGCUCUUUAAGACAAAGGUAGACAACUCAAAAUAGCUUCAUGAAGUCCCUGAAAGUGACCAGAUUCACGGCGUCAUCCCUCCCUUCCCAAGAGUAGACAAUGGAGACUACCAGGAAUCACUCUCUGACAAGCCAAUCUGCAGAGAAGACUCUUGAGAACAAACCACAAGAUUCUCCAUCCAACUGAGUCACCUGGACCCUCUCUGUUGAGCUGCCUGCAGGCUGUGCAGUGAAUGCCAGAUUCUGUUCCUAGAAGUGAGUAACCCUUGACCCAUAUUCCUGGAACCCCAAUAAAACGCAUUGGUUCACUGAGUUGGACUU
Mus musculus (house mouse) is the source of this 602-nucleotide long non-coding RNA. RefSeq annotates it as predicted gene, 51900. The transcript has 3 exons. NCBI's taxonomy places the organism in Eukaryota, Metazoa, Chordata, Mammalia, Rodentia, Muridae. The record is from RefSeq and is a predicted model, not a curated record.